CCUACGGGAGGCAGCAGUGGGGAAUAUUGGACAAUGGGGGGAACCCUGAUCCAGCGACGCCGCGUGAGUGAAGAAGUAUUUCGGUAUGUAAAGCUCUAUCAGCAGGGAAGAAAGAAAUGACGGUACCUGAUUAAGAAGCCCCGGCUAACUACGUGCCAGCAGCCGCGGUAAU
Molecule: ribosomal RNA, 172 nt
Filed under: uncultured bacterium
Lineage: Bacteria
Description: partial 16S ribosomal RNA
Rfam family: Bacterial small subunit ribosomal RNA
Source: RNAcentral